This 497-nucleotide ribosomal RNA is filed under the name uncultured bacterium. Its description in RNAcentral is "partial 16S ribosomal RNA". It matches the Rfam family "Bacterial small subunit ribosomal RNA", at positions 28 to 507 of the family's 1533-position model. The record is from RNAcentral.
GAUGAACGCUGGCGGCGUGCCUAAUACAUGCAAGUCGAGCGAACAGACGAGGAGCUUGCUCCUCUGACGUUAGCGGCGGACGGGCGAGUAACACGUGGAUAACCUACCUAUAAGACUGGGAUAACUUCGGGAAACCGGAGCUAAUACCGGAUAAUAUAUUGAACCGCAUGGUUCAAUAGUGAAAGACGGUUUUGCUGUCACUUAUAGAUGGAUCCGCGCCGCAUUAGCUAGUUGGUAAGGUAACGGCUUACCAAGGCGACGAUGCGUAGCCGACCUGAGAGGGUGAUCGGCCACACUGGAACUGAGACACGGUCCAGACUCCUACGGGAGACAGCAGUAGGGAAUCUUCCGCAAUGGGCGAAAGCCUGACGGAGCAACGCCGCGUGAGUGAUGAAGGUCUUCGGAUCGUAAAACUCUGUUAUUAGGGAAGAACAAAUGUGUAAGUAACUAUGCACGUCUUGACGGUACCUAAUCAGAAAGCCACGGCUAACUACGUG